GACGAACGCUGGCGGCGUGCCUAAUACAUGCAAGUAGAACGCUGAAGGAGGAGCUUGCUUCUCUGGAUGAGUUGCGAACGGGUGAGUAACGCGUAGGUAACCUGCCUGGUAGCGGGGGAUAACUAUUGGAAACGAUAGCUAAUACCGCAUAAUAUUGACUAUUGCAUGAUAGUCAGUUGAAAGGUGCAACUGCACCACUACCAGAUGGACCUGCGUUGUAUUAGCUAGUUGGUGGGGUAACGGCUCACCAAGGCGACGAUACAUAGCCGACCUGAGAGGGGGCUCGGCCACACUGGGACUGAGACACGGCCCAGACUCCUACGGGAGGCAGCAGUAGGGAAUCUACGGCAAUGGACGGAAGUCUGACCGAGCAACGCCGCGUGAGUGAAGAAGGUUUUCGGAUCGUAAAGCUCUGUUGUAAGAGAAGAACGAGUGUGAGAGUGCAAAGCUCACACUGUGACGGUAUCUUACCAGAAAGGGACGGCUAACUACGUG
RNAcentral lists this ribosomal RNA (495 nucleotides) under uncultured bacterium. RNAcentral's name for it is "partial 16S ribosomal RNA". It matches the Rfam family "Bacterial small subunit ribosomal RNA", at positions 28 to 507 of the family's 1533-position model. The record is from RNAcentral.